RNAcentral lists this ribosomal RNA (801 nucleotides) under uncultured bacterium. Its description in RNAcentral is "bacterial SSU rRNA". It matches the Rfam family "Bacterial small subunit ribosomal RNA", at positions 80 to 878 of the family's 1533-position model. The record is from RNAcentral.
CUCCUUGGGUGACGAGUGGCGGACGGGUGAGUAAUGUCUGGGAAACUGCCCGAUGGAGGGGGAUAACUACUGGAAACGGUAGCUAAUACCGCAUAACGUCGCAAGACCAAAGAGGGGGACCUUCGGGCCUCUUGCCAUCGGAUGUGCCCAGAUGGGAUUAGCUAGUAGGUGGGGUAACGGCUCACCUAGGCGACGAUCCCUAGCUGGUCUGAGAGGAUGACCAGCCACACUGGAACUGAGACACGGUCCAGACUCCUACGGGAGGCAGCAGUGGGGAAUAUUGCACAAUGGGCGCAAGCCUGAUGCAGCCAUGCCGCGUGUAUGAAGAAGGCCUUCGGGUUGUAAAGUACUUUCAGCGAGGAGGAAGGCGUUGUGGUUAAUAACCGCAGCGAUUGACGUUACUCGCAGAAGAAGCACCGGCUAACUCCGUGCCAGCAGCCGCGGUAAUACGGAGGGUGCAAGCGUUAAUCGGAAUUACUGGGCGUAAAGCGCACGCAGGCGGUCUGUCAAGUCGGAUGUGAAAUCCCCGGGCUCAACCUGGGAACUGCAUCCGAAACUGGCAGGCUAGAGUCUUGUAGAGGGGGGUAGAAUUCCAGGUGUAGCGGUGAAAUGCGUAGAGAUCUGGAGGAAUACCGGUGGCGAAGGCGGCCCCCUGGACAAAGACUGACGCUCAGGUGCGAAAGCGUGGGGAGCAACAGGAUUAGAUACCCUGGUAGUCCACGCCGUAAACGAUGUCGACUUGGAGGUUGUGCCCUUGAGGCGUGGCUUCCGGAGCUAACGCGUUAAGUCGACCGCCUGGGG